Molecule: long non-coding RNA, 2315 nt
Filed under: Pongo abelii (Sumatran orangutan)
Lineage: Eukaryota; Metazoa; Chordata; Mammalia; Primates; Hominidae
Description: lincRNA
Source: RNAcentral
AAUCACUAAUGGCCUCAUCUUCAAAUGGUCAGUGAUAAUAAACAAGAAGGAGGGAUUUCCAAGGGAGCAGAGCAUUAAUAAGCUACUUGUGCAAGAAGUUACAAUGAGAAAAAAAAAUUGCAAGAAAUAGAUGAGGGAAGGAGGUGCUGUAGAGAGAAAAACAAAGAGAGAAAAGGAGAAUGAAUUGUGCUGAGAUAGAGAUGCCUGGAUGAAAAAGCUGGCCCUAGCACCCAUAAAGCUGGAAAGAAAGUGGGGCCUUGGAAACUUCUGGAAGGAUGUGAGGAAAGAAAAAGGCAAGGAAAUGAGAUGGAGAGGAGAAAGAGAAACCAGGAAGCACUUCAGAAGCAUGUAAAUUGCAAGGAAAUGAGGAACAGCCUUUGUCUGUGAAGUCUGUGCUAGUGCUGAGAGCUUCAUUUUACUGUCCUGGCAAGGAGGUGUGGCCCCUCUCCAGUGCCCAGCACCUCAUUGCUAUGGUAACAGAAGACACGCUGAUUAUCCGGAUUUUGCCUCAGAGACUUAGGCUGUACAAGCUGCUUUCCUGGGGUAGCUUGUCCUUUUGCAGUUAACCGAGAUGCCUGGGGAGAAGAGCUUCCCCCAACAGGAUGGCAGGCGAUGCUUCCAGAUGCGGUCACUUGGCAUGUCUGAGCUGAAUGUCUCCAUAAAAAUAUGAUGUAAUUAACAGAGCCACAGCAGCUGGAACAAUUCAGCACCUCACAUUGAUUUUCCAUGUCUCCUAUUUACUUUCAGUUUUUAAACUGUCUGCAGUGACAGGAAAUCAAAGAAUUAUAAUGGUGUGUGUGAGGGCCCAAUGCUGGGUCGGCAUUUCCUUGUGAAAUCCUGAGAUUAAUCAGUUUCCUAUCACUCAGUCAUCCCUUUUCACUUCUAAAGGAAAGCUGUCCUCCAAAAUGCUACAAAAUAGCAGUCUAUUUUUGGAUAUUAAAAAAAUCAAUUGUAUUAUUUUAAAAUUUGAGAGGAGUGUUUUAAAAAAAAGUCAGCCCGAAGCAAUAUUCACUUGUCUGUUUUCCCCUUCAAGUUUAAUAGGAGUUGGCAAAGGCAUUUGGGUGCAGUGAGACACAAGUGCUAUAUUCACCCUUCCUGAGUUUUGAGAGCUUGGAAAAGUUACUUGGUGGACCCAAAGAGAGGAACUGCGUUCCAAGUUUUUUUGAUCACUGAAAUGAAGGAAAAUAAGUUUCCCCGUAUGUGGUUAUUCAUGAGCUUUCAUCUGAAGCUGGGUUGGUUUUCUCAUAGUUGGUCACUGUAUUUCCAGCUCUGUCAGGUGAAAGUCGGAAUCUUGGGUUAAUUUCACCUUGGGUUCCUUAAAAUGCUGGAGAAAAUAGGCAGCUGCGGUUGUAGUGGGGAAACAGGCCUCUGUCUGAAGUCAGCUUGCUCUAGAUUGUGUUUGAAAACAUGCCUCAGAUUUAAGUGGUCUUGCUAUUUUUCCAGACUCCCUUGUCUUGGCAGAUUCUGUGUCUUGGCCAUACUGUAAGAACUCACUUUUCUUUUUCUUUUUGUUGAUUCAAGCAAUAUAACCAUUUCAUAAAUAAUUAGGAAAAUAAAGAAGAAAAUUGCUCAUAAUUCUACUGCUCAAACACAAUAGCUAUGAUUGUUUUGGAGCAAUUACUUUGGGUCAUUUUCAAACGCUGAGUUUUGAUAUGAUUCUAAGCAUAAUGUACAAACAACUUUACAUGUUGCUUUUUCACUUAAUCUAUGUCAGAAGUAUUUCCCCAUGUUAUGAUUAGCUUCCUAAAUAUCUUUUUAAUUGCUGCCCAAACAGCUGGAACAAUUCAGUCCCUCUUAUUGACUUACCAUGUGUCCUAUGGAAGUAGAGACACUCUAUUAACUAUUUCUGUAUUUUGGGACAAUAGAGCAAAUCCAUUUUUCACUGUAAUUAAUCCCAUGAUAAGUACCUUUAUAAAAAAGCCUUUUUCUGUAUGUAAGAUAAUUUCUUUAGGAUAAAUUCCUAGAAAUUACAGGGUCAAAGUGGAUAAAUAUUUUAUGACUCUUGAUAUUUCUUGUUGAUCUUUAAAGCUAUUAUGUGACUUUAUAUUAUCACCUAAAAUGUUUGAGGAAUUCAUGCUUUAUGAGCGUAUUUUAUUGACUAAAUAUGCAGUACUGAGAGAGCUUUAUGUGUGCAGUUUGAUGAUGCUGACAGAUAUCCUGGAGAUAAACAUUUUUUAAUUUAAAGAUGUUCUGUUUAUGUUUAACAUACAGAAGUUAAUGUUAAACAUGAUGCCUAUUUUGUUUAACAUACAGAAGUGACUUUAUUAAAGCCAUUUCUUCUAAAUGUGCAAUAAACUAUGAAUUCUUUGCCUGGU